Molecule: ribosomal RNA, 190 nt
Filed under: Braya humilis
Lineage: Eukaryota; Viridiplantae; Streptophyta; Magnoliopsida; Brassicales; Brassicaceae
Description: 5.8S ribosomal RNA
Rfam family: 5.8S ribosomal RNA (bases 3-157)
About the family: 5.8S ribosomal RNA (5.8S rRNA) is a component of the large subunit of the eukaryotic ribosome.
Source: RNAcentral
ACGACUCUCGRCAACGGAUAUCUCGGCUCUCGCAUCGAUGAAGAACGUAGCGAAAUGCGAUACUUGGUGUGAAUUGCAGAAUCCCGUGAACCAUCGAGUCUUUGAACGCAAGUUGCGCCCCAAGCCUUUGGCCGAGGGCACGUCUGCCUGGGUGUCACAAAUCGUCGUCCCCCCCAAUCCUUUUGGAUAA